CUAGUACUCUCUUCGUCCUAAAAUUCUUGUCUUAAAUUUAUUUAAAUACGAAUAUAUCAAGUCACGUUUUAGUAUUAGAUACAUCCGUAUUUAAAUUAAUUUAAGACAAAAAUUUUGAGACAGAGGAAGUACCAU
Molecule: non-coding RNA, 135 nt
Organism: Triticum urartu
Lineage: Eukaryota; Viridiplantae; Streptophyta; Magnoliopsida; Poales; Poaceae
Source: Rfam